GACUUGCCCAUGGGCAUGGAAGGAGCUUUAGGAAAGAAACUGAAGCCCAGUGUUGCUUGAAAGAGUCAAGUAAGACCACACGAGGGACUUCCAGAGGGGCAGGAAACAGGGUGAGACGAAGCCAGCCAGAACUGGUAAUGUGACUAAAGAUUCACAGCAGAGGGCUCCUUUCGUUUUCCUGUAGAGACUCAAAGCUCCUCUCCACUGUUCCUGGAAUCCAGAGACUGUUCUAACGAGGCUGAACAAGGCAGCCAUGCUCCACCAAGUCUCUGGAAUUGAGCAAUCCAAACGGCACUCGGGCCAGGGCUAGUAAGCUUCUGUGUGCCCCUUAGUUAUCUGGACAAGUCCAGGGCUUCAGGCAAUGUUGCUGGAGACUGAGACACAGAUCCACGCUGGAAGCGAUAGCACAGUCUGUGGGGUGUGUUGUGGUAUGCUGGGCUUUCCUAAGGCUAAGGCAUGGCAAGUGUGUUUAAAUGUUCUCCUGGAGCGCUCAGCUGGCCGGAUGCUGGCCCAGUGAGCACAAGGUCGCACACUUAAGCUCUAGCACUGCUCAAACUGGUAUGAUGGCACAUGCAAUCAGUCUCAGGACUACGAGGUAGAGGAGGGAGGUUCAGGAAUUCAAGACUGUCCUGGGCUAUAUAAUAAGUUUAGGGACUGCCUGGGCUACUUGAGACUGUU
Mus musculus (house mouse) is the source of this 678-nucleotide long non-coding RNA. RefSeq annotates it as predicted gene, 52490. Lineage: Eukaryota; Metazoa; Chordata; Mammalia; Rodentia; Muridae. The record is from RefSeq and is a predicted model, not a curated record. The transcript is spliced from 3 exons.